RNAcentral lists this ribosomal RNA (800 nucleotides) under uncultured bacterium. RNAcentral describes it as "bacterial SSU rRNA". It matches the Rfam family "Bacterial small subunit ribosomal RNA", at positions 86 to 871 of the family's 1533-position model. The record is from RNAcentral.
AAAAGAGGAGUGGCGAACGGGUGAGUAACACGUGGGUAACCUGCCCAUCAGAAGGGGAUAACACUUGGAAACAGGUGCUAAUACCGUAUAACAAUCGAAACCGCAUGGUUUUGAUUUGAAAGGCGCUUUCGGGUGUCGCUGAUGGAUGGACCCGCGGUGCAUUAGCUAGUUGGUGAGGUAACGGCUCACCAAGGCGACGAUGCAUAGCCGACCUGAGAGGGUGAUCGGCCACAUUGGGACUGAGACACGGCCCAAACUCCUACGGGAGGCAGCAGUAGGGAAUCUUCGGCAAUGGACGAAAGUCUGACCGAGCAACGCCGCGUGAGUGAAGAAGGUUUUCGGAUCGUAAAACUCUGUUGUUAGAGAAGAACAAGGAUGAGAGUAACUGUUCAUCCCUUGACGGUAUCUAACCAGAAAGCCACGGCUAACUACGUGCCAGCAGCCGCGGUAAUACGUAGGUGGCAAGCGUUGUCCGGAUUUAUUGGGCGUAAAGCGAGCGCAGGCGGUUUCUUAAGUCUGAUGUGAAAGCCCCCGGCUCAACCGGGGAGGGUCAUUGGAAACUGGGAGACUUGAGUGCAGAAGAGGAGAGUGGAAUUCCAUGUGUAGCGGUGAAAUGCGUAGAUAUAUGGAGGAACACCAGUGGCGAAGGCGGCUCUCUGGUCUGUAACUGACGCUGAGGCUCGAAAGCGUGGGGAGCAAACAGGAUUAGAUACCCUGGUAGUCCACGCCGUAAACGAUGAGUGCUAAGUGUUGGAGGGUUUCCGCCCUUCAGUGCUGCAGCUAACGCAUUAAGCACUCCG